This 4683-nucleotide long non-coding RNA is filed under the name Setaria italica (foxtail millet). RNAcentral's name for it is "long non-coding RNA (SITA_LNC006497)". Lineage: Eukaryota; Viridiplantae; Streptophyta; Magnoliopsida; Poales; Poaceae. The record is from RNAcentral.
UUGGACAGCAAGUCAGCAACUUAUUCUAGCCAGACACUCUAAGCAUGAAACUUAUUACAUGGAGGCAUGCGCAUGCAUGGCGAGCGCAUAGCUCGGCUGCAUAGCUAUCAUUCCUCCUUGCCGCAAUCUUGGGUGGAGCCGGACUGGAGGUGGAGCUUGCAGUUCUUGCCGUUCCUGGGCGCGCAGUCGCAGAUGCAGCCCUCCAGCUUCUGGUAAGGGUAGUUGUCGCAGGUGAUGUACCCGCCCUGGAUGCACCGGACCAGCGAGCAGUCCACCCUGCUCUUCCUGGCCGCAGCAACCUGCUCGCCGAACACGACGAGCCCUGAAGAAGAAGAAGAAUCGAUUGAGAUUCACACGAGUCAGAACUCAGAACACCACUUCGUUAUGGUUAUGGACGAUCACUUUGCAGGACUGGGGGUCGAUCGAUGCGAGCGUGCGUGCGUACCGGAGAGGAGGAGGACGAAGGCGAGCGAGAGCUUCAUGGAGACAGCUGCAGCCAUGUCGAUCGGUUCGGUUGGCAGGAGCACGGUGCACGGCCCGGGCGUGUACGCGAGUGCAUAUAUAUACGAAAAGGAGAUGCAGAUCACGAGCUGCCACUCAUCAUCGUCGUCGUCGUCGGCCGCCGUGCUGUGGCUUCGGCGAAACUGUCCGGAUACGCCGCUUCCUCUGACCCGCCGUACGCGCCGCACCGGCCCACGAGGGUCUGACGCGAGCUCGCGCGUCGGGAUAGGCGAAGCCAGCGGUGGCCGUGUGCCAUUUCCUGCCUGACUAGUGAUUGGCGCGCGCGCGUAGAAUUGCACGAUUUUGUACCAUGUCUUAUACAAAAUAGUAAAAGUGGAUACGAUUUUAUACCAUAUUUUAUACAAAUAGAAAAAUGAAUACGAGACAACAAGAACAUCUUACUGUUACUAAUUGGAGGCUGCUUUUGAAGCCUCCAGGUGAAGCCACCUAGGAUUCCUAGGUGGACACUCUAGAAAAAGAGAGAAAUCCUAGAAAUUCUCAAAAAAACCAAAACAUCCGACCAUUGAUCUAUAGAUUCAAAUCAUCAUAGCCAUUAAAUCUAUUAUGUUUUCUAAAAAAUUACCCACCUAUGCCAUUAUGAAAAUAACCUAAAGUAACCCCCUAAAUCUAUAUAUAAAUUACCUACCUCUGCCAUUAUAUAAAAUAAACUAAAAUAACCCCCUAAUCUUCAUCAAAAUUACUCACUUAUGUCAUUAUAAACAAUAUUUAAAAUAACCUCCUAAUUUGCAACCAAAUUGCCCACCGCUAUUAAACUUAAAGUAACCUGUUAAAUUUGCAUCUAUAUUACCCACACAUGCCAUCAUUAAAAAUAACAUGAUAACCCUACGUUUGAAUCAAAUAACCUUAAUUAAAAUAUACAACAAUAUAUGAUUCUAAAUCGUCUAUAUCUUGCACUAUUGGUAUAUGAUAUAAUAAUUAAGGUCUAUACACAUGAUGUGUCACCAUUUAUAAAGAUAUAGAGGAAGUGAUGAGAAUAUAGAUUUCUAUGUUAAAAUUGUAUCACAAACUUAGGGUUCAUUAAACAAAUUCAAACGCAUACCUGCGAUGCAAAGUGAAAAGUUAAAGAUUAUAAAUGUGGAUGAAAAUAUUAUAGAGUAAUUACUAACUAAAAUCUAUGACAAUUAGAUGAAGAUAAUAAGUAUAUAUCUAUUGUGUUUGAAUAUUUAACAAACGAGAGGUAGCUUAUGGUAAUAUUUUUGAGCAAUGUAGUCCCAUUUUUUUCAUUGGAGACUCCACAUUAGUUCCCAUGAGACAAGCUAGAAAAAAAAGAGACAAAUUCUCAUAAAAAUCAAAAAUAUCAAACACCAAUCCUAUAAACUCUAAUAAUCAUAGCCAUUAAUCUAUUAUAUUUUCUAAAAAGUUACCCACCACUAUCAUUGUGAAAAUAUUCAAAAAUGAGCUCUAAACAAAUUACCGAGCUCAGCUAUUAUAAAAAAUAAUCUAAAGUAAUCCCAUAAUCUUCAUCGAAUUUACUAAUACAUAUCAUUAUAAAGUAUAACUUAAAAAGUCAUUCUAAAAUUUUAUCUAUAUUACCCACGUAAGUUGUUAUUAAAAAUAACCUAAAAUAAACAUCUAAAUCUUAAUCUAAUUAUCUUCAUGUGCAUCAUGGAUAAAUGUCAAAAAUAAACUAAUAUAUGAUUCUAAAUUACCUAUUUAUGUCAUUAUUAAUAUAAAAAUACUAAGUUAAAGUAUAUACACAUGAUGAGUGUCACCAUUUAGACCAUUUAUGCAUGUACGUCAGGAAUCGAUGAAAAAUAUUGAUUUGUAUGCUAAACAUAAUGUAUGGAGGAUUGGAGGUGCGAUACAAAAUGGAAAAAGUAUGAAUAUGGAUGAAAAAGUGCAUAGAGUAAUUAUUAAUUAAAAAUCAAUCACAAUUGGACAAAGAUAGGUACAUAUCUAUAUAAGUAUUAUGUUGACGUAUUGAAAAAAAUAAGAGAGUAGUAGGUAAUCAAUUUUGAUUAUUAGCUAGGAGUUUAAUUUCUAAAUAAUUUUCAAAUACAAUAGCUUCUAAAAAUAUUAGCCCGUGCGGGAGCACGGGUUGAUGGACUAGUAUAAUUUAAUAUUGCAACAACAUUUUGGCAAACUAUAUCCCGAGAAUAUGGUGGCAUAGCCACGAAAAAGUAUUGUGCCAUUGUCACAAAAAGAAUUUAAGCUUCAAUUGAACAAAACAAAUUCACAAGAGUCAAUUUCACUUGGCAUACAAACCAAGUACAUUUUUUUACGUACUAAGUAGACGAAGAAGUCAGCACUUGCAAGUUUGAGACUGUUGAGAUAAUAGCGUAAAUUUAUAAAAACUGACACGUACGAUAAUUAUCCAACAGAGGGAUAAUUAUAAACUCAAGCUAACCUAUCAGGCUCGGUUGAGUAGCAAUCAGAGGACGAAUAAGAGACAAUAAUCUGCACUGUUUUACCAAACCUAAUAUUUUCAGAACAGAGGACGGACAAGAGGCAACAGCCUUUCUCUGCUUUACAAAACCUAAAAUUUUCAGAACAAGAAUUCAGAAAUCAUAUAAUAAAUAGUAAUAUUUAAUUGUUUGCAACGCAAUGAAAGAUGAGGGGAAAAGCUGAUACCUAAUUUUUGACAUGGGAUGAGAAGUACAAAGAUACAUCUAAUUGGCCACGCUCUGGUUGGCGUUGCUAUGUCGCAGUAGUUCAUAUUGAAGAAAAAACUGUAGUCAACCUGCGGCGAAGUAGAAAAGAAUGAGUCUGCUUUCUGCAAUCACUUUGCAUGAGAAAAUAGUAAUGGUACUAAUCAACUAAAGGUAUAAUGUUUAACACACUGAUCAAUACUACAAAUUGGUUGAAGUCUAGCCGCCUCCCUCCCCCGUGACGCACCGGCUCUCCACGCCUCUCCUUUGUCGCCUCCGUGGCUUCGUACCUUCGGCCACGCAUCCCCCAUGCCUCACCUGGCCGCCUGUGCCACCCGUAACCACGCCGUUCUUUUGGUGUUGUCAGGCUUGGCGUCAGCAUGCGGUGCAUUCUGAAGUUCCGGUCAGCGGGAGCGGAUCUAAGCCCUUGUUUACUUCACCCCCCAACUCCCAAUUUUGGCACUAUGCAAAAAGAAGAUUAUCAUCACAUCAAACUUACGGUACAUGCAUGGAGUACUAAAUGUAGAUGGAAUUAAAAACUAAUUGCACAGUUUUGUUGUACUUUGCGAGACAAAUCUUUUGAGCCUAAUUAGUUAAUGUUUGGACAAUAAUUCACAAAUACAAACGAAAUGCUACAGUGUGCUACAGUGCCAGCACAGUAAUUUGGUACCUCCCAAUUUAGCCAACUAAACAAGGCCUAACAGAGAUCGGAUAGCUUUUAACAUAAGCCACUGCUUCGCUGCAAAUCAGUAUAGAACAGCUAGACCACACUUGGAUUGGUCAAGUCCUCGAGUUCACACCGAAUCUAGUGAAACAUAGUAUGGAGUAUUAGUAACGGUCUGGCCAGUGGCCUGGAUUACAAAUCUGAGACUGAACCCCGAUCGCGCGCCGAUCAAACUUCUGCAGACCAAAACUUUAUAUCACGCGUGACAUCAUUCACAUCCCAGGACUGAGAUCUUGCGUCGAUGCAACUAAAAAAAACUAAGAGGUACAGAAGAAAAAAAGAGAAACUACGACAAAGCCAGCUCAAGGAACGGAAAUAGUCAAGCGAGGCAUAGCAUACUGCUACUUCAUUAUUCAGCAACAUUAUUCCAUCACCGUUCCUACCAGACACCCCCAAAAAUCCACAGGAUAUGGGCUGCUCUCCUGGCCGUCCAGGGCGUAUAGCUACGCCCCAUGCGCCGGGCAGUCGAAGGUGUCGCCGCUGCUCAGGAGGUGGAGCUUGCAGUUCUUGCCGUUCUUGGGCGCGCACUGGCAGUCGCAGAUGUCCAGCUCCUGGGAGGGGUAGUUGUCGCAGGUGAUGUACCCGCCCUGGAAGCACUGCACCCCGCACGCCGCCCCCGUCUUCUUCCCAUCGGCCUCGCCGAACACGACGAGCCCUGCAGAGUGCACAAGCAUAUGAUGCAUUAGAUGGGCAACACGGUUACAAAUCAUGCACAGGAUCGGAGAUGCCGGCCGGCGGCGUACCGGAAAGGAGGAGGAUGAAAGCAAAGGAGAGCUUCAUGGAGGCCAUCUUCUUCAGUUGGCUUAGCUCGCGGUGUGUGCUGCCACAGCACCCUGACAGAGAUCGACG